AUGUGUGUGUGUGUGUGUGUGUGUGUGUGUGUGUAUAUAUAUAUAUAUAUAUAUAUAUAUGCACGCACACACACAUACACACACAAAA
This 88-nucleotide microRNA precursor is filed under the name Podarcis lilfordi (Lilford's wall lizard). The record is from RNAcentral. Lineage: Eukaryota; Metazoa; Chordata; Lepidosauria; Squamata; Lacertidae.